This 1131-nucleotide ribosomal RNA is filed under the name Triticum aestivum (bread wheat). Its description in RNAcentral is "partial small subunit ribosomal RNA". The record is from RNAcentral. Lineage: Eukaryota; Viridiplantae; Streptophyta; Magnoliopsida; Poales; Poaceae.
AUGGACCCCAUGAAGAACCGGGUGCGAGCCUUCACCGAAGGUGCCGUGAUAAUGGUAUGCCCGGUUCUUCUUGCCAUCUCACUGAAGAAGGUCGACGUGAAGAACGAGGGAGACGGGUUCGUACGAUUCAGCAUCUCUACACUGGCCACCUCCACUCUGGAAGCCGGUUUACUACCCUUCAUCUGCCUCUCGUUAGCGAAGCUAACACACACGUUCGUCGCGGACUUCCUGUUUGUGGCCUCGAAGUUGCUCAUCCACCUCUGCGCCCUUCUGCUGACGGUCCUGGUCUAUGGCAUCAUACUUCUUAUCGAUCUGGAAAACCUCAGUUACAUGCUUGUUCUCUUUCCCUACACAUUUGCAAUCUUGUGGUGCUACAACAAGACCAGGCGGAAUGGCCGUAAUGAGGAUGCACAGCUGUACACGGAAUAUCAACAAGCUAGGCUGGAAAACUCGAUCGAUUUCGCAGCCGCUGUCACUGCGCUUCUGUUUCUGGGGUUGGAAGGCCUGGCGGCGUUAGAGCUACCGAGCAGCAGCGACGCACCACCAGGACUGCUUGUUGCGUCGCUUCCGCUGAGCUUCUGCACUUGCCUGACGGGCGUAUUCAUCAUGCUGUUGGCCACGGUGCCUCCAACCACAACACAAGAGGAAAGCAACGACGCGUGCAACACCGUCGAGGUUCUCAACUUGGGUCUGGCCUUCGCGUUCUCCCUCAAUGUCUUCUUCUUCACGGCUGCCUUGCUGGGAGAGCUGGCGUUGCUAGUGUGGGUUAUGCCGCUGGUUUCAUUUUUCGCAUGGAUAUUCGCAACUCUUUUCCAGCAGAACGUGGGCGAAGAUGUUAAGCCGGCGUCCAUGGAGCUGACCAAGGUCACCUUUGCGGGCUUCUUGGUUGUCUUGGCGGCCAUCAGUAACACUCCAGUCAGCAGCUACGCCUCUGCGUUCGUGCUCUUCAGCGGAGCAGCUGCCACCGCAGGCCUCGGAUGGAGACUCUUGACGCACAAGACGCCUGCGCCCAGUGCCAUGGUCAAAGCUGCUGAUUUUGCUUCUUUGUUUACCCAUGUGUACGCUUUUAUUGCUGUUAUUCCGUUUGCAGUUGUGGCUUCCAAGGCUCUGAAUUCUCAAGUAAUGAGCUGA